GUACUGUGCAAACGUUAUUCGGAAUCACUGGGCUUAAAGGGUGCGUAGGCGGCUGACUAAGUAGGGUGUGAAAUCCCCCGGCUCAACCGGGGAACUGCGCUCUAAACUGGUCGGCUUGAGUGAGAUAGGGGUGUGCGGAACUUCCAGUGGAGCGGUGAAAUGUGUUGAUAUUGGAAGGAACGCCAGUAGCGAAAGCGGCACACUGGGUCUCAACUGACGCUGAGGCACGAAAGCCAGGGUAGCGAACGGGGAUUAGAUACCCCGGUAGUCCUGGCCUUAAACGAUGAGCACUAGUUGGGAGGGGCUUCGGCCUUUCCAAACAAAGCGAAAGCAUCAAGUGCUCCGCCUGGGGAGUAUGGUCGCAAGGCUG
RNAcentral lists this ribosomal RNA (370 nucleotides) under uncultured organism. RNAcentral's name for it is "partial 16S ribosomal RNA". It matches the Rfam family "Bacterial small subunit ribosomal RNA", at positions 527 to 896 of the family's 1533-position model. The record is from RNAcentral.